UUGAACGCUGGCGGCAGGCUUAACACAUGCAAGUCGAACGAAGUGUUGGUGCUUGCACUAACGCUUAGUGGCGAACGGGUGAGUAAUACUUGGGAAUCUGCCUUGUAGCGGGGGAUAACGUUUCGAAAGGAACGCUAAUACCGCAUACGUCCUACGGGAGAAAGGAGGGGAUCUUCAGACCUUCCACUAUAAGAUGAGCCCAAGCGAGAUUAGCUAGUUGGUAAGGUAAAGGCUUACCAAGGCGACGAUCUCUAGCUGGUCUGAGAGGAUGAUCAGCCACACUGGGACUGAGACACGGCCCAGACUCCUACGGGAGGCAGCAGUGGGGAAUAUUGGACAAUGGGCGAAAGCCUGAUCCAGCCAUGCCGCGUGUGUGAAGAAGGCCUUAGGGUUGUAAAGCACUUUAAGCGAGGAGGAAUGGCUCUGGGUUAAUACCCUUGAGCAGUGACGUUACUCGCAGAAUAAGCACCGGCUAACUCUGU
Molecule: ribosomal RNA, 482 nt
Filed under: uncultured bacterium
Lineage: Bacteria
Description: bacterial SSU rRNA
Rfam family: Bacterial small subunit ribosomal RNA
Source: RNAcentral